UACGUAGGGACCAAGCGUUGUUCGGAUUUACUGGGCGUAAAGGGCGCGUAGGUGGCAAUUCAAGUCAUCUGUGAAAUCUCCGGGCUUAACCCGGAACGGUCAGGUGAUACUGUUUUGCUAGAGUGCGGAAGGGGCAAUCGGAAUUCUCGGUGUAGCGGUGAAAUGCGUAGAUAUCGAGAGGAACACCAGAGGUGAAGACGGGUUGCUGGGCCGACACUGACGCUGACAGCGCGAAAGCCAGGGGAGCAAACGGG
Molecule: ribosomal RNA, 254 nt
Filed under: uncultured bacterium
Lineage: Bacteria
Description: partial 16S ribosomal RNA
Rfam family: Bacterial small subunit ribosomal RNA
Source: RNAcentral